GCGCCAUUAGCUCAAUUGGAUAGAGCGUCUGGCUACGGACCAGGAGGUUUGGGGUUCGAGUCCCUUAUGGCGUA
RNAcentral lists this transfer RNA (74 nucleotides) under Oscillospiraceae bacterium. RNAcentral describes it as "tRNA-Arg". It matches the Rfam family "tRNA". From Rfam's summary of the family: Transfer RNA (tRNA) molecules are approximately 80 nucleotides in length. Their secondary structure includes four short double-helical elements and three loops (D, anti-codon, and T loops). The record is from RNAcentral. Lineage: Bacteria; Bacillati; Bacillota; Clostridia; Eubacteriales; Oscillospiraceae.